AAGUCACUCAUCCAAGGCUUAUCCAAACUACUUAGGAAAAUCUCAUUAAAUCAGGCUCCCCUAAUUAGAAAUUAGAUAAUUCUGACAGGAGCAAAGCUAAAGUUUACCUUUGUACCAUCUGUAAAAAAAUAUUUUUGCAAAGCAAAGGAAUAACAUAAACAAGUCUUAAUGAUUUUCUAAAUCUAAAGUUCCAGGAUCAAUUCAAUAUUCUCCUAAGUAUCUUGACAGCAAGUUGUCAACCUUAAAGGUAUGACACAGUGAUGCAACACGGGCGAUCUGAGUCUACUUCUGGCUGCAUCUUGGGCAACUUAAUGUAUUUUUGCCUCCAUUUCUUCAUCUGUAAAAUGGAAAUAAUAAUGCCACUUUCACCUAUGAGUUACAGCAAUAUAAAAAGUGUACAAGUUUGGGGAGUUUUGGGGGUAGAAUGUUUCCCCAGUCUUCCAUCAUCUAGUCUGAAGUCUCUAAAAUAAGACUCACAUCAGAAAAAUGAGAUAUGGAAAACCAUUAACAGCAAAGUCUCCAAGCAUGGCUGAAACAGUACACUUGCCACUGGCAUGUUCAGGGCUCCUGGCUGAUUUUUUUCUAAACUCUGUUGAUUAGCAUGAAGAUUUGCAUUGCCGUUUCAUAAAUCUCCUUAUUUUCAUUUGUACAAGUGGAAGACUUAGGAUAUGUGAAAAAAGAGCCAUUUUUAACCUUGCACUUAAGUGGAUCUUACUUCAAGGUGUCAAUACCUAAAGUGGGUCUCCACAAUGAUGCUAAAUGUUGCCUUUCAGGCAGGUUAGAGGAUGCUCAGUUUUGGUGUGUGGGAAGGUGUUGUGGCUUGCUGACAGCCAUCCAUAUCAUGGCAGAUGCUGAGACUCUGAAACAAUACAUGUAAGUUUGGAUUUCUAGAGCACCUUUCCACUGAAGAACUCAAAGCUGAUUCACAUUCAUUGUCUCAUCAGUCUAUCCAAAUGUCCAAUGAGAAGCAGAAUGAAAAAGGGUGUUGUCAUCCUUAUUUCACAGAUAAUAGACUAACAGAAGGCACAAAAUCCAAAAAUGACUUGCUUUCCUGCUGGCCUGUGACCCUUUGAGGAAGGCCCCUAUAAAAAGGGAGGCACGAAAACUGGAACUAGAACCGCCUCUGCUGCUUUCCAGUCCAGUCUUAAACACUGAACUGAUGCCUCUUUUUUUCAUCCAUGAUGACAACAGGUUGGUCUGUUUGGGUUUAUAUUAUCUUCUUGGCUUUGCUCUGUAGACAUAUAGAAAGACAUUAGCCUCAAUUUUCUGCAGAACAGUCCUCAUCUUACUUCUUUGUUUUGACUAUUGCAACGUAACAGUGCCUUUUAUCCAGUAUUUUCAAGCAAGCCUUGAUCAGUUUAAUCAUGGAUUAACUCACAACCUCAGAUAGACAAUCUACUAAUUCACAGAUACUUUAUGUAAUAAGCAGUAAAACAACUCACAUAUGUACCCGCCAACCUGGAAGCAAUGACCACUUCUGGACAAUGACAUGCAGCCUACCCAGCUAACAUGUAUGCAGAAACCCUCUCCUAUACUUCAUAUCUAAGCCAGACACUGAACAAUGCAAAUGCACUCAGCUCUGCGUCGUGCCUAUUAACUCGUCUGCUACCAGUGCAUUAUUGAAACCAGUGUCAUUGUCAGAAUCUCUCACUUUACUGAGGCUCUUAAAAGAAAUGGCAUUUUCAAGGCCCAACAACCCUGAAAUACAUGAAGAUUUCACACAAUUGGAAGGACGAUUGCCCAUCUUUAAAAUAGGAGAAAUCCUAAUUUCACAAAUACUCUGUAAUGAGGAAGAUGCACACACACUCCAAAUGCUUUUUCUUUAACUAGAGAAAAAAAUGAGACUCAUUACUUCUUGCAGUUUCAAAAGAUGUGAAGUCCCCUGAGAGGGUGUUUUUCAUUGACCCAUCACACACGUACGCAUAAAAUACUCACUUCACCUGGUUAAGUUAAUACAGACUCAAAUGGCAGGACUUAUUUUGCAACUAGAUUGCAAGAAGAUAUUUUUCAAUAUAUCCAUAGCCACCCCCAAGAACAACAACAAAAAGCCUCCAGAACUGAAAAUUGUCUCUUUGCUUCAUUACAUCUAAAUGAUCAGAUUCAUUCCAGUCUCAAUUCUCAAACUUCCCUCCCUUUUUUUAUUCCUCUUUCUUUUUAAGGGACCCUAUUAUAAGGAGGAAAAACAAAAUGGAACAAAGCUACAAUUCAAUGCUCAUUUUAAGGUUUCCAGUUAUAACAGUGCUCCUGGGCAUGACUAUUAUAUAUUGCCUUCUUUGGGAAACUGUUGAUCUUUUGAUGUUUAUCAUUUCUUUAUAUAAACUGUAAAAGGGAGCUUUGUGAAGAACAAGACUUUGCCUCUAACUAAGGUCUAUAUUAAAACUCAGCCCAGGCCAUGACUGGAAAUGGAGCUUGUGGACUCAAACUAUUCCCUCACUGGCCCCUGCCCACAUCAUAAAAUCAGUAAGCUAUUUGGCAUAGAAGAAAAGAGAUGGCAAAGCGUGAGAACUAAAAGCCGGCCGACCAUGUACCUAAGAGCCAUGAAUAUAAACACAGAAGGAAGGGUUAGCUAAGCUCUAGAAGGUGGCAAGGGGAACAUCAGAGGUUUAUGUGAUAUUCAGUGUUCAUAUUCCUAAAAGAAAGUGCACAUUUAAAAAUUUUCACUGCACAUCUGUGCAUUGCUACAUUUUUAAGGGCCUGCUAGGACUGGAAUUACAGGAGAUUUGAAGCUCACGACCGAGUAGCUCUGGCAAAGCUGCAUGGGGGAGGAAGGCUACUGAAAAUCAUGGGGGGAAAGGUAGAGCCUCUGCCAAAGAGGAGCAUUAAAAAAGGGUUCUAGCCGAGGAAACUGUCAGCUUUAUAUAUGGGAACUGGAAAUGGAAAAAUUGGUAGUGCCAUUGAACCUGAACAGCAGCUGUGAAAUCAGAAUUUACUCCCUAAUCUGAAUUAACUAAUCAAAACCAGGUCACUCCUCCUCCUUCUCUCCACUACCCACCGCAUCGCCCCUGGGUUAUUUUUCAUGACCAAUCGCAUUCUGCAGCAAAAUAAAUAAAGAGCAACAAAAACAGAAAUAGUAAAGGUCAAUGUGUCCCCACAAGACCCAAUGCACUUGAGAUUUAUCAAUGGAGCAAAUAACAUAGAUUUUUCACCUUUUGUCUUUUCAUCUUUGUGGUACAUAGACUUAGUAAAAAAGAGGAAGGUUGCAACCUCACCACCAAUGUACUCAAAUAGAAGCCAAGAAUCAUCUUUAAACCAUGACUUCUGAAAUCUAAGCUCUAAAGAAAACUAAAAGAGCACAGUGACAAGAAAAGGUGCUCACACAAGUUUGAAACUACCAGUGGAACCAGUUAGUCCUUCAGUCAAGCAUGUGCGCAAUCAAUUAAAUUCCAACUGUAAAACUGCAUUAAAAGUACAGAAAGAAAAAGCUGUCAGUAGGUCACCGAACAGUGUGUGUUUGAUGAAAUACUUUCUUUGGUUGCAUAUUUGAGAAAACCUGUUAUCUCCUUCCCUAGCAAAAGAAGACAAGACUCUAGAAGAACAUUAAGAACACGGUGUUUUGCUUGUGAAGGUGGUUAUGUGGUACAGGAGGGGCUCUUUGUCACCAGGUUGCUAUAUCAGCACCAAAAAAAUGUUCUUGUGGAAUAGCAUAGUGCUUAAAAUACAGUAAUUACUGUUACAGUAUGUGCACAGCAACGUAAGAACCGCAUCUAGAGCUAUACGUGGUACCGAGAGUUGAGAAACAGCUGUAAUUUUGGCUUUAAAUAUGUUUACGAGCAUUCUGAAUGGUUUAAGCUUGCUGUGCAGCAUAUGAUUUUAAUUUUCUUUAUGGAUAUAGGGGGGCAAUGAAAUGCUGACUUUUGAUAUAAUAAUCUUUCAGGUUUAGGAGGAACUAUAGGAGGCCAGUCAGUCCCCAAGCCUGCCCUCUUAAAUCUCUACUUAUAAAGUUCUCGGUGGUAGAUGUAAGUUUAAAAAAAAAUUAUACCUCACAUUAUAUAGUAUGUCUUAUAUCUUUGAUUUGAGUGAACCCUUUCAGUUGACUACUUAGGCUUGCAAAAUCAGGGAAAACCUGUAAAAUGGAGGCACAUAUCUUAUUUACAAAAUAAUGACUCCUUUCUUUGGAACAGAAUAAGUAGAGUAUUCCAAAGAAAAUUCAAUUUCAUUAUUUACUAUAUACAAAACUUAAGGAAUAGUCAUCUUUAUAUUGAAAUUCAUAUGUAAACAUACUUCAAAGCAAGUGCUAAAUUUGUCAUUUCUCAGGAAUUGCUAAAGCAGAUUUGCUUACAAUAAAAAAAAAGAAAAACAUUUGAAUUGCCUCUGGUUAUUGUAAGUUAAUUGAACCUACUUUGGUUUGUUUCAUUUAAAAAAACACAUCUCAGACCAGUUAGCAGUUGAAACAUUAGUGAUGGAGAAAAAUGGAUCCUACAAAAAAAGAUACACUUCAUGAAAAAUAAGUGAUGUCAUUUCCCUCAAAUGAUUUCUAGUAUGAAAGACUUAUAAAUAUCAAUUUGACUAAAACUAGAGAAAACAAACUUUGAUAAACAAGUCUUACUUGCUAAGGUGUGGACUCAGGUAGCUAAUUUCAUCUGCUCCUUAAAAAUAUUUUUUCGGCAUCAUAAUCUUUUUAGAAAUGUCUUAUUUUGUCACAAGGUACAAAGUUACUUCUCAAAUUUAAAAAAUGCUUUUGUCAAUCAAAUAUUUCUACCAGCUUCUAUUCACAUCAACAAAGUAUAGCAAAUGACACACUAAAAUCCCAGGAACAUAACGACAAUUAAGUUCCAAGUAGUUAAUGGCCAAUCUAUUGUGAUGUUAAAAAAAAAAAAAAAAGUGCUUGCAACACAUAAGCCAUUGCACGACAGGCUUGACCAGUUUCUAGACUUCCUUAGAUGUCAGUGUAGCAGGUGCAAGCCUGGGCUAACUAAACUUCAUUUUAUUUUCUCCUAGCUCAUAACUAGACUAUAUUUUCAAGCCUCCUUCCAACUAAGCUGGAGUCAUUGACCUGAGUUCUGUCUGAUGAAGUAUGGUUGAAGUUAUAUAUGAAACUUCAGACUUUCACAUCCUCCUUCAUUUCCCACACACUGACUGAAUAUAGAAGGGAAUGAAGUUCUAGAAGAUGACAGGGCCACAUGACCGAGUAAUCCUAGUCCUGACUGACUGUAUGGAACCAAGACAUUAGGGAGAAAUCUAUUUUUAUUAUGUGAAACUACUGACAUUUUGACUAAUGUAAGCAGGGACAUUGUUGUGUCUCCCACAAGUUAGGUUUCAACUGAAAACCAGAAUAAUAAUAAAGCCCAUUUUUUUAAAGACCCCUCAGAGAAGUAGUGAAUACUUUAAUUUAAAAACAUUUAUUUAGCACCUAGUCCAGGCACCACAUUGAGUUAAAAGGUUCAAGCUCUUCUCUCAGGAUGUUCAUUGUCCAAUGGUAAGGGGGAUAAAGCUCCUGAGAUCAAAAUACAAAAUGGUAGAAAUAUUUAAUAUAUGGGGCACGACACAUGGACAUAGGAGAGACUUAACACAGGCUGAAUGGCUUAUUGAGGGCUCCUCCGCAUGGUGGCAAUAAUUCCAAUGGAAGGAUUAGUGUGGGGGGAAGCACAUGAGAAAUGGAACCACAAGCAACAAUGGAGAUGCCUGAAAAUACGCUAUGCUCUAUGUGAUACUGUGAGAGACUCAUUCUCAAAGAAUUUACUGUCUAGUGAAAUUACAGCAUAGCAGGAGUCAAACCCCAGGUUCCAUCAGUGGGCUUCAUGACAGAAACAUCAGUUUUGCUCCAUUUAAAUAUAUAAACCCUCUGCAAAAAGAAAAAAGCUACAUACAUUCCCUCCCAACCCCGACACACUCCAACACACACAUACACACAGGACCAAAGAAGGGUCAUUUUGAUUCUGCAUGAAUGUGACAAGUUUUGCCAAUUCCCUGAAAGUAACAAAGAUGAGGCAGUCUUUCUAGUCUUCAGUUUUGGAAGAAACAUCUUUGUGGUCUGGCUAUAUGACAAUUCAAUCUUUUUGUGUUUUCUAAGAAUAUUAAACGCAUAGUUUCUGUUUUCUUAAAAGUCAGACUAAUAUUUGUGUGCAAUUAUUAUAUAUAGAUAUUGCUGGAAAAAGUUCUGUUGUAUCAUUGUUGGAGCCUCAUGUGUGUGAUGUUCAGAUACACUGAUUAUCAAUACAAGUGCAAUGCAUGCUGUACUAUAAUGGGAUGGUAUUUUUAAAUUAUUUUUUGUUUGGAUGGGAGAUGCUACUUUUCAUUUAUGCAUGCUCUUUUGACCACAAGAUGAGGGUCAAAAUGAUGAUGAACAUAAUGAGCAGAAUGAUACAGUUCCAUUACUUGGACUCAGGAAAAUAUGUAGAAAGAAGGCUUUAAAAAAAAAAAAUUGAAAAAAGCUCCCUGUAUUAGGAAUGCCAGAAGAUAAAAGUGGUCAAGGUAAUAUAAAUAACUAGACAUUAUGUUACAAGACUUUAGUUACUAGCUUUAGGCAAUAUACCAGCUUUGGGCAAAAGUAACUAAUAAAAUGUAUUCCAGCCAA
Molecule: long non-coding RNA, 6514 nt
Organism: Macaca mulatta (Rhesus monkey)
Lineage: Eukaryota; Metazoa; Chordata; Mammalia; Primates; Cercopithecidae
Source: RefSeq, a predicted model, not a curated record